Arvicola amphibius (Eurasian water vole) is the source of this 89-nucleotide small nucleolar RNA. RefSeq annotates it as small nucleolar RNA snR65. Lineage: Eukaryota; Metazoa; Chordata; Mammalia; Rodentia; Cricetidae. The record is from RefSeq and is a predicted model, not a curated record. The transcript has a single exon.
UUGAAUUUUGAUUUUUUUCAACACACUCAAUGGUCUCUGAACUUGAAGACUACAGUGCUAUCUCCUUUUGCAGUUUUAAUUUUCUGACU